GACGAACGCUGGCGGCGUGCCUAAUACAUGCCAGUAGAACGCUGAAGAGAGGAGCUUACUCUUCUUGGAUGAGUUGCGAACGGGUGAGUAACGCGUAGGUAACCUGCCUUGUAGCGGGGGAUAACUAUUGGAAACGAUAGCUAAUACCGCAUAACAAUGGAUGACACAUGUCAUUUAUUUGAAAGGGGCAAUUGCUCCACUACAAGAUGGACCUGCGUUGUAUUAGCUAGUAGGUGAGGUAAUGGCUCACCUAGGCGACGAUACAUAGCCGACCUGAGAGGGUGAUCGGCCACACUGGGACUGAGACACGGCCCAGACUCCUACGGGAGGCAGCAGUAGGGAAUCUUCGGCAAUGGGGGCAACCCUGACCGAGCAACGCCGCGUGAGUGAAGAAGGUUUUCGGAUCGUAAAGCUCUGUUGUAAGUCAAGAACGGGUGUGAGAGUGGAAAGUUCACACUGCGACGGUAGCUUACCAGAAAGGGACGGCUAACUACGUG
Molecule: ribosomal RNA, 497 nt
Filed under: uncultured bacterium
Lineage: Bacteria
Description: partial 16S ribosomal RNA
Rfam family: Bacterial small subunit ribosomal RNA
Source: RNAcentral